GGCGCCAUCGUCUAGUGGCCUAGGACAGUGGGUUUUCAGCCCAUUAAUCGAGGGUUCGAAUCCCUCUGGCGUCACCA
Molecule: transfer RNA, 77 nt
Filed under: Candidatus Levybacteria bacterium RIFCSPLOWO2_02_FULL_36_8b
Lineage: Bacteria; Candidatus Levyibacteriota
Also listed under: 2 other names
Description: tRNA-Glu
Rfam family: tRNA
About the family: Transfer RNA (tRNA) molecules are approximately 80 nucleotides in length. Their secondary structure includes four short double-helical elements and three loops (D, anti-codon, and T loops).
Source: RNAcentral